AUUCUUUUCUUCAGGAACCUCUCACAAAUGAGGCCAAGUGAGGGCUGGGUUUUACAGCAGGCACUCGAGGGAGCUGGCAAGGACCCUGAAGUUUAUGAAGCCUUACUGUGCAGAUGGGAAUUGGCAGGAGCGAUAUUUUUCAAUGGAUACUCAACCAAUAGGUAACAAACCACAUAGAAAGCAAUCGCAAGCUGGUAUGCCUGCUAUGGGAGAAGAUAAAAGAAGACAGAAUAAACUUCUUGACACUGCUUCUUUCAUGAGGUUACCUUCCAGGCAGCAGUGGCUAUGUGACAGAUGCUGACCAAUGAGAUGAAAGAUGACAUCUAUGGUAGAGCUUUUAAGAAAAGCAUAGAUUUUCUGAUAAGAAAAGGAAUGAACUUAAAUGGCAUAUGCCUUUGCUCUUGCCCUUUUUGCUUGCCUGGAAUGCAGUUACAAUGUCUGCAGAUGCAGCAGCCAUCUUGUGACCAAAGGAGAAAGCUACUUGCCAGGUUUAGUGGAGAUGGACAAGAGAAGAAACCAGAUUCCCUGAUGGCAUCCUUAAGCCACUACACUGGCACAGGGCUCCUACCUCCAGACUCCUGAUCAUGUGAGCAAAAAUA
RNAcentral lists this long non-coding RNA (599 nucleotides) under Equus caballus (horse). Its description in RNAcentral is "lncRNA (ENSECAG00000044139.1)". Lineage: Eukaryota; Metazoa; Chordata; Mammalia; Perissodactyla; Equidae. The record is from RNAcentral.